Molecule: ribosomal RNA, 411 nt
Filed under: uncultured bacterium
Lineage: Bacteria
Description: bacterial SSU rRNA
Rfam family: Bacterial small subunit ribosomal RNA
Source: RNAcentral
AACGAACGCUGGCGGCAGGCCUAACACAUGCAAGUCGAACGCGAAAGCCCGCAAGGGUAAGUAGAGUGGCGCACGGGUGAGUAACACGUGGACAACCUGCCUUCGAGUGGGGAAUAACCUUCCGAAAGGAGGGCUAAUACCGCAUAACACCUCGGGACACAAGUUCUGGGGUUGAAAAGAGCAAUUUGCUCGAAGAGGGGUCCGCGCCUGAUUAGCUAGUUGGUGAGGUAACGGCUCACCAAGGCUCGAUCAGUAGCCGUCCUGAGAGGGAGCACGGCCACACUGGAACUGAGACACGGUCCAGACUCCUACGGGAGGCAGCAGUGGGGAAUUUUUGGCAAUGGGCGAAAGCCUGACCAAGCAACGCCGCGUGGGUGAUGAAGUAUCUUGGUACGUAAAACCCUUUCGGCA